GAUGAACGCUAGCGGCAGGCUUAACACAUGCAAGUCGAGGGGCAGCGCGGAGUAGCAAUACUCUGGCGGCGACCGGCGGAAGGGUGCGUAACACGUGAGCAACUUGCCCGUGACAGGGGGAUAAGCGAUGGAAACGUCGUCUAACAUCCCGUAACACGAGGGGAGGCAUCUCCCUUCGUUGAAAACUCCGGUGGUCACGGAUGGGCUCGCGGGACAUUAGCUAGUUGGCGGGGCAACGGCCCACCAAGGCGACGAUGUCUAGGGGUUCUGAGAGGAAGAUCCCCCCCACUGGAACUGAGACACGGUCCAGACUCCUACGGGAGGCAGCAGUGAGGAAUAUUGGACAAUGGAGGCAACUCUGAUCCAGCCAUGCCGCGUGAAGGACGAAGGCCCUAUGGGUCGUAAACUUCUUUUGUCAGGGAGCAAUAAGGGUCACGCGUGGCCCGACGAGAG
This 453-nucleotide ribosomal RNA is filed under the name bacterium MB2024. RNAcentral describes it as "bacterial SSU rRNA". It matches the Rfam family "Bacterial small subunit ribosomal RNA", at positions 28 to 475 of the family's 1533-position model. The record is from RNAcentral.